Molecule: ribosomal RNA, 429 nt
Filed under: Chloroflexota bacterium
Lineage: Bacteria; Bacillati; Chloroflexota
Description: Chloroflexi bacterium partial 16S ribosomal RNA
Rfam family: Bacterial small subunit ribosomal RNA
Source: RNAcentral
UGGGGAAUAUUGCACAAUGGGCGCAAGCCUGAUGCAGCCAUGCCGCGUGUAUGAAGAAGGCCUUCGGGUUGUAAAGUACUUUCAGUCGGGAGGAAGGUGGUAAGGUUAAUAACCUUAUCAAUUGACGGUACCGACAGAAGAAGCACCGGCUAACUCCGUGCCAGCAGCCGCGGUAAUACGGAGGGUGCAAGCGUUAAUCGGAAUUACUGGGCGUAAAGCGCACGCAGGCGGUUGAUUGAGUCAGAUGUGAAAUCCCCGGGCUUAACCCGGGAAUUGCAUCUGAUACUGGUCAGCUAGAGUCUUGUAGAGGGGGGUAGAAUUCCAUGUGUAGCGGUGAAAUGCGUAGAGAUGUGGAGGAAUACCGGUGGCGAAGGCGGCCCCCUGGACAAAGACUGACGCUCAGGUGCGAAAGCGUGGGGAGCAAACAGG